AUUCUUGACGCCCCCUGCAGGAAAUGUAUUAGCGGUGCAAAUGCGGGUUAUGUCAGAAAAGGGCUGGUUGUGUCCGCCAGCAACCAUAAAGGGGCUAAUUAGUGGUAGGUUUUAUGAAGGCAUAGCGGCCCCUUGGCGCGGAGUGGUAAAGCAGCAGUAGUGCAGAUAUUGUGGUCUGAACUCUCUGUGCUCACGACCUGAGUUCGAUUUCGGCGGAAGCUGGAUUCAGGUUUUUGUCUCCUUGUGGCAGCUGCCUUUCUUGGCUAAUGGACAGAACGUAUGUUACUUUCAUCCUCUUCUUGGGGCUUUCUUCAAAGCAGCAGGCUGGCUCAUCAUGGAAACAGAAGGCUAUGUUUCGGAUCAAUGAAAUCAGAAGAGCAAGAGGAAGUUGGUUACAACUGUCAGCAAAACUAGCAGAGAGUGGUAGGAGACAGGUGGUCUUGGAGGAGGUGGAGACAGUCAACCCACUGGCCUUCAAAGUGCUGAUGUAGCCUAUAACUCCAAGACAAACUUGUGAUUUUUUACUGCUCGGAGUAUGUAAAGUCUAAGAGGAGAACCAGGAGGCAGAGUCCUAAACAUCUUUCGUCUCUCCAAUUUUAACCAACCACCACAGCUGCAGCAGAAGCAAACCUUUGGUAUGUGAGCAUGUGGCAUGCUGGGUGGUUAAUGAGUCAGUAAUGUGAAAGCCUCAACAUAGAUUGCCUUGAUAAUAUGAUUCAAUAAACAUAGCAUUUGUAUUCAA
Long non-coding RNA from Heteronotia binoei (common prickly gecko), 742 nucleotides. RefSeq lists it as uncharacterized. The record is from RefSeq and is a predicted model, not a curated record. Lineage: Eukaryota; Metazoa; Chordata; Lepidosauria; Squamata; Gekkonidae. The transcript is spliced from 3 exons.